CGCCUGCCGACCCACCACUACUGAAGAUCAAUGACUGAACUACGAACCACACUGGAACAUGGUGGUAUACAAACAUCAAAGAACCUCCUCUCCCUCUGAUAAAUUGGAGCGAGACAAAGAGAGAGAAGGGGCUGCUCCAAAAGUAAUGCCUCCUACCUUAUUGUGUCAGCCCACGAUAUCAGAAGCAGAUGUUGGUGGCAUGGCAGUAGAGGCUGAACCUUCCUUCUAAUAUCUCAUUACAUUUUAUUGCUGUGUGAUGGAUGACAGCAGAGGGGCAGUGUGACAAAUUGAUGUUUGACACUGAAGAGUAUAUGAAGAAAAGGUGUAGUUGAAUCCCUCCAUGAGGGAAAAAUUACACCCACUGACAUUCAUCGAUGCUUGCUUAAUAUUUAUGGAGUCUAAUCUGUGAAUCUGAGCACAGUGAGGCAAUGGGUGGUGUGUUCCACCUGUGGUAACAGUGUUGUGAAAUACAGGCCAUGUUCCAGACUGCCAUGCAGAGCUGUCAUACCAUGAAAUAAAGAGUGUCUCAAUUAGGUCCUCUGCACAAAUUAGUGAACUGUGACAAGGGAACUGUGUAUGGAAUUGAAUAUCAGUUUCAUUGCAUUGGAAACAACACUGGCAACAUUGGAAUACCACAGUUUGUUCCUGGUGGGUCCCACAGAUUCUCAUACAGGCAAAGAAAGAUCACUGUAUGCAAGUUUUUCAGUACUGAUUGAACCAAUAUGUGGCCGAAGGUGACAGUUUCCUGGAUCCUCACUAGUGAUAAGAUGAAGAUGUUGCUGGACCACUACAAGCUGGAAUCAAAAUGACAGUCCAUGAAGUGAUGAUAUGUGAAUUCCCCAUCGAAUAAAAUGUUCAAAAUACAGCCCUCAGUGGGUAAAGUGACGUGCCCGUGGUGAUCCUUAUGGAUUUCCUGGAACCCAGAACAAACCAUCAACUCUGACUACUGCAUUACAACACUAACUGUGCUGAAAGCAUGAACUUCCAGAGUCAGGCCAGAGAGGAAGACAACCUUUCUAUGACAACACAGUAAUGAUAGGUUACAUACCAGUUUGAAGACUGUGAAGCACAUUGCCAGUCUUGGCUGAACUGUCAAGCACACCCAAAAUAUAGUUCAGAUAUGUCACCUUCUGUCUUCCAUCUGUUUGGACUGAUGAAAGAUGAACUCCAGGGACAAUAUUUUCCUAGUAAUUACGCAAUCAUAGCAGUUGUGAAACAGUGGAUCUACUCCACUUGUGCAGAUUUUUACAAGUGCAGCAUCCAGGUUCUUGUUCAUUGCUGAUAAAAAAUGCAUAAGUAACGGUGGUGACUAUUUUGAAAAAUAUAGUUUUGCAGCUCAGAAUUUUCUCUGUCAAACAGUGUUAUUGUGCUCUUUGUAUGUAUUGUAGUUUCCAGGGAAAUAAAUAGGAGGCAUUACUUUCAGUGUGAUACAUGCUGUUGACAUUUGCACA
This is a long non-coding RNA of Gallus gallus (chicken), 1451 nucleotides long. NCBI's taxonomy places the organism in Eukaryota, Metazoa, Chordata, Aves, Galliformes, Phasianidae. The record is from Ensembl.